AUGCAAGUCGAACGAUGAACCACUUCGGUGGGGAUUAUUGGCGAACGGGUGAGUAACACGUGGGCAAUCUGCCCUGCACUCUGGGACAAGCCCUGGAAACGGGGUCUAAUACCGGAUAUGACCCUCGCAGGCAUCUGUGAGGGUGUAAAGCUCCGGCGGUGCAGGAUGAGCCCGCGGCCUAUCAUCUUGUUGGUGAGGUAACGGCUCACCAAGGCGACGACGGGUAGCCGGCCUGAGAGGGCGACCGGCCACACUGGGACUGAGACACGGCCCAGACUCCUACAGGAGGCAGCAGUGGGGAAUAUUGCACAAUGGGCGAAAGCCUGAUGCAGCGACGCCGCGUGAGGGAUGACGGCCUUCGGGUUGUAAACCUCUUUCAGCAUGGAAGAAGCGAAAGUGACGGUACCUGCAGAAGAAGCGCCGGCUAACUACGUGCCAGCAGCCGCGGUAAUACGUAGGGCGCAAGCGUUGUCCGGAAUUAUUGGGCGUAAAGAGCUCGUACGCGGCUUGUCGCGUCGGUUGUGAAAGCCCGGGGCUUAACCCCGGGUCUGCAGUCCAUACGGGCAGGCUAGAGUUCGGUAGGGGAGAUCGGAAUUCCUGGUGUAGCGGUGAAAUGCGCAAAUAUCAGGAGGAACACCGGUGGCGAAGGCGGAUCUCUGGGCCGAUACUGACGCUGAGGAGCGAAAGCGUGGGGAGCGAACAGGAUUAGAUACCCUGGGAGUCCACGCCGUAAACGGUGGGCACUAUGUGUGGGCGACAUUCCACGUCGUCCGUGCCGCAGCUAACGCAUUAAGUGCCCCGCCUGGGGAGUACGGCCGCAAGGCUAAACUCAAAGGAAUUGACAGGGCCCGCACAAGCGGCGGAGCAUGUGGCUUAAUUCGACGCACGCGAAGACCUUACCAAGGCUUGACAUACACAGCAUACCCUGGAUACCGGAUCCCCCUUGUGUCGUGUACAGGUGGUGCAUGGGCU
RNAcentral lists this ribosomal RNA (972 nucleotides) under Streptomyces hyderabadensis. Its description in RNAcentral is "bacterial SSU rRNA". It matches the Rfam family "Bacterial small subunit ribosomal RNA", at positions 55 to 1051 of the family's 1533-position model. The record is from RNAcentral. Lineage: Bacteria; Bacillati; Actinomycetota; Actinomycetes; Kitasatosporales; Streptomycetaceae.